GCCCUGUUGGCCAAAUGGUAAGGCGUCGCACUCGUAAUGCGAAGAUCAGCGGUUCGAUUCCGCUACAGGGCA
The sequence is a transfer RNA, 72 nucleotides long. It matches the Rfam family "tRNA". From Rfam's summary of the family: Transfer RNA (tRNA) molecules are approximately 80 nucleotides in length. Their secondary structure includes four short double-helical elements and three loops (D, anti-codon, and T loops). The record is from Rfam.